AGGGAAUAGAACUCCAAGCGAAGACUAGAUCAAAUCGACAUAUAGCGAAUGCGAAACGUUAUCUCGAUUUGAUCUAAAGAGGCUAAUUUGUAGAAAAUAGGUUUAGAAUGAAAUCCGAGCCUCUAGGGUUUCUCAAACAUGUAUUCUUAUGAUGCUUAAACAGUUAGAGAACCCCAAUAGCUUAUUUAUAGACUUUAGAAUCAAAACGGAGUAGGAUUAGAAAGUUUCUUUCUAAAAUCAGCACCUUGUACCGGAACAAGGAAAGCUGUCCAGGGUACAGCAUGACGGAAGAUUUUUCUGCGAAGCUUCUGUACUCUGAACAGACUGCAGCUUGUUCCGGAACAGGGCUUGUACCGGUACGGCCGUGAUGGUUGUACUGGAACAACCAUCAACAAACUCUGCGGCAAAGGUCGAUGUCUGUACCGGAACAGAUAAACCCUUGUACCGGUACAACAAUGUAAUUUUCGCUGAAAAUGCAUUGUUUCGAGUUUUACAAGCUCUUAGAAACUUUCUAAUCAAUUACAACUUGAAAACAUGAUUCUAAAAUCUAUAAUUAAGUAUGAAUCACCAUAAACAAGAUUUAAAGCUUACCUAAGCAUCGUGAUUCAUGUUUUGCGUGUUUUGCGUCCUUUCCGAUUCUUCGAAGUCUUGGAUUCUUCGAUCUUCAAUACUCCGCUCCGGACUUCUUCAAGGCUCCAACUCGACCCACGAAACUUGCCAACACAUAGCUAACAAUCUCCCCCUUUGGCAAUUUCGUGACAAAACACACACAAACUCAACAAUUACAUUGUAAAGAAAAACGAAGUUCAAUUGUCAUCACCAAAACAUUGAACUCCUCGCGUGUAAUCCAAAUACAAUUUGAAACUCAAAAUACAUUUCAAAACUCCUAAAACAGACUCUAUGACUUAGACGCAACUAGGAGUUUUGAAGUCUUGAAAUCUUGCAAAACAAUUCACUUAAAAAUGAUUAGCCUUAAAUUCUUAUACCUUCUCUGUCUUUGUUCACAUCUCCCCCUUUGGUCUUGAACUUAUCAUCCUCAGCUUAGUUCAAUGCCUGUUUAUCCAUGCUCUUCCCCUUCAUCUACGCUCUCUCCCUUUUUGUCAAAAAUUGCCAAAAGAAAGCAAAUAGAGAGAGAAAACAUACUAGAAAAGCAUAAGCGUAGUCAAUUCAUAGUUAAAGGCCUAAAAGAAAAAAAAGCAAGCAGAGCUAAAACUAAAACAUCAUCCUAAACAGCAAAUGCAGUGAAAGAGAAAGACUAAGCUUGACGAAGAAAUCACUCCGUGUCCUCGUCAUCAUCAUCAUCAUCUCCAACACCAGCUCCAGAACCCCCAGCCUCAGGAGCAUCACCAGACGGUGGAAUGAGAGGAUGUCGUGAAGAUGACUGCUGAUACGAAGCAAAAGAUGGAGUAGGUUCCCAAAUAUCAUCAUGUGGAUACCCCAUCUUAUCCAUUAAUCUUUUGAUACUUAAUUCAAACUUUUUGAUGCUGGACUCAACUUUCCUUCCAAUGUUGUUCACCUUCUUCUUUAAUUUUCGCAAAUCAUCCUUAACUGAUUCCAAUGUCGUCGCUCCCCCCGAACUAGAUGAAGUAUCAUAACUCCCUCGGGAUGGAGGCGGAGGAGCAGAGCUAGAAGCUGCUCUCGGUGGAGGUGCUGGGCUAGAUGCUUCAGGAGGUGGCCCUUUGGUCUGAUGGAAUGAUCUGAGAGUGCUAACAGACUUAGCCCAAGUCACUGAGUCAAUAGGCCCAAGGCCAACAUCAUACUUGUCACAAGAUGUAUCUACUCCAUUUGCUUGAAGAAUCCUCGUAAUCAUAACAGGGAAUGGAAGUAGAUCCCGUCGAGUGGCACCCUGAAUCACGUGUAUCAUCUUUUGCCAGAUCAGAAAUGGAAUGUUGAUGUUCAAUCUAUGAGCCUGCUCGGGAUGACCAAGUAGAUAUAGCAACACUAAUCUCUCGCAACGGAUCCUCUUUGUGCCAAUAGUGGGUUGAACAUUAUAGUUCAUAACCAAGGAUAGCAAGUGAUACUCAGGUAAUAAAUCCUCGGAUUCAAUGUAACCAUGAGUCAUGUAAACACCGCCUUUGCAUAUAGCUCCAAGAAUGAUAUCCAUGUGAGUUGACGCUUGGAAUCCUCCUGACGUAUAGAGAAGACCUGUAGUGUUCACAUGCAUUCCCAAGAUCUCUCCAAUAUCAUAGGGGGUAACUGGGAAUCUCUUCUUUCGCACAAUAGUCUCAAAAAUAAAAGUGCCUGUUUCAUCAUCUUCAGCAAGUACCUUUCCAUUCAUAUAGAACUCCCGAAUGAGUUUUACACAGAAAGGAGCCUUGGCCGGGACCCGUCCAACUGGUUCAAUAGGUGCACGCUGUAGCAGUCGACCAAAAUCAGGAACAUCCCGAACCAGGUCAUUAAAGUUCACAAAGCGUUCCGGUAUGCACGACUUCGACGCAAACAACCUUUGCCGUGCUAGAGGGACAUCCGCAGCUUGUUUUGUACGUUCCUCACGAGUACGAGAACCACCGCCAUGAGAUGAUCCGCCAGCUAUUCCUUUGCCUUUGUCAAGUCGAGCAAUAGGUUCUUCAGGUUCUUCCGGGGAGCUCGCCUGAUAAUCCGGAUCAGACCCGGACGCUUCUUCAGUUGUGCGUGUCCUUUUAGAAACCCCAUGACGACCUCUACCACCACCACGGCUCCGUCUCCCAGCCAUUAACACCAACAACACCAAUACGAGCAAAAACGCCAUUUUCCUAUAUCAAAAAAUUGCAUACAUGAACAAAAUUUUUGAAAAAAUCUGUAAAAAUAGCAAAAAAAAACCUCUAAUAACAUUAGAAUGCAUACAAAUGCUAUUUCUAACCAGAUCAUGAAAAAAAUUUCAGCAAAAAUCGAACUUUUUGAAAAAUUUCGAAAUUACAUGCAUAUUAGAGCAUAAAUCUUAGAUCAGUGAAAAAUAAUUUGUUUUGAUGUUGUUCAAGUGUUCUACAAGCAAGGUAAUAGCCUAAGACACUGAUCUAUAGCAAAAAAUUGCAUCAAAAAUGAAUUAGCACAGAGAUCAAACCCUUAUCCCGCAAAAACAGUGAAAAUAUCAAAAUCGGGAUAAAACUCACAAAUUUGAUGUUAAAAACUUACAAAUCCAAGGGGAGAACGUGCAAAUCGGUUGAAGAAGAGUAGCUGGAGCUCCCAGGAACAAAAAUUUUGGAAAAAGAUUGAAAUUUGAGAGAGAUCGAAGCGUUAUACCCGUAUAUAAGCCGCUCGGCCGCAGACCUUGUACCGGAACACGGUUUCUUGUACCGGUAUAAGGACCAAAAUGUGAAAAAAAAAAUUUUCGAAAAAUAUCCUUUAAAAACCCAUCAAAUUUAAAUUAAAUUCAUAUAAUUAAGACUUUUACUCCAAAAAUCAUUAUAAUGAAAAUAAGAUAUUAUAAAAUUUCAAAACACAUCGAAACAUCAAAAUUUCAAUAUAAAAAAAUUAUUUAAUGAUUCAAGGAACCAUCAAGAUGUAAGUUGAUGAAAAAUGAUUUUUAGAAAUUCAACAAAUUGACACCAAUUUAUCGUAACACAUUCAAAAUAGAGAUUUAACUAAUAUGGCACCGGGGGUGGCUCUUUGACAUCUUUUCAACUUACCACCUAUAACUCCAAAAAUUUUAAAUAUUUAUAACUUUUUCCAAACCUUUGGCUUUUCAAUUAAUUUCCAUGUGGUAGCUUCACACACUUGCGGACGACCGAGUGGUAGCUCUUUCCUACAUGUGGUGGUAGUUUUCACACUCCUUUUAGGAUGUAACUCUUCCACAUCUUUUAAACAUAGGAGUUUCUUUUUCUCCUUUUUUUUUAAAAUUUUUAAACAAUUUCAAACCCCCCUAAAUUAGACAAUCUCACAGUUGAAAAUAUUUUGACGAAUUUUAGUCAAAUAGAGAAUAUCCAUUCAUCAUAUCACCAAACACUCACAACCAAGAUGAAUUAAUCACAAAAAAAAAAUCAAAUUUGAUUUCAAAUUUUGAUGAAUAUAUGCAUUAAGAAAUCAUAUAUUAAAUUAUCAUCAAAAUAAUAAAGAAGUGGAGUAAACCGAUAAUUAAUAUGAAUUUAACUUAAUUAUCAUUGUGAAGAUAAACACGUUCAAACACCUUUUUUUUUAAAAAAAAAUUUCUCUCUCCAAAUUAUGGAUCGCUCAAUCAUCUCUUUUCUCAAAAAUUUUUGAAUUCUUAAAUACCUUCGCCAAUAAAUAAUUUUUAAAUAAACAAAAAUUCAAUGCACCAAAAAUCAUUCAAACAUGUAAUGCAAUGAAUAAAAUUAUGCAACAAGCACCAAUCAAAGCAUUACACUAAAGAUCAAAAUGACUAAGACGAGGAGCAAGGAAAGAUAUCACCUUUCCGUAUCCAAACUUGUCGGAUCUUUGGUUUUCUCGGCUUGUCGAUGUUUGGUGCCGUUUGUUUAGAUAUUUGAUCAACCGUUAGUGGUUUCUUCGGUUGAGGCUUCGGUUGAAUUUGUCGUUGAGGCUUAUGCACUUGUUUUGCAUGAACUUGGCGUUGUGCAUUAGAAAUCCGGUUCUUUUGAGGUACUCGACUAACUUGAUUUUUCUUUUGAUUCCGCGGGGGAAGUCGAGUUGUAGAUGAUGUCGUUUGAGGUUUAGAUAUUGCCAAUUAAUUCUUCUUUUCCUUAUUUGGGCAAUUCCUUUUAAUGUGUCCUUUCUUGCCACAUUUAUGACACACCUCUUUCGAAGUUGUUGAGACUUUAGAAGUUGAUAUUGAAUCCUUCUCAACGUAUGUGCGUUCAUAUCCGAGUCCAAGCUUGUUCGUUUGACCCAAUCCGAGCAUAUGAUCUAGUUUCUUUGAUCCGGAAGAAAAUCGUUGAAUGUCGGAUUGAAGUUGACGAACUUGAUUGGUCAAAGACUUGUUGGAUGUGUACGAUUCCUCGAAUUGUCGCUCCAAAAAUUCAACCUUGUCUUUAUAUGAUUUGAUCGUUAAUUCCGCUUCAUUAAGCUUCUCUUGGAGGUCCGAAUUAUUCUUCAAGCUUGAAUCCCUUUCCUCCUCAAGAGCCUUAUUCAAAGUCUUUGCGUUGUUGUUUUCCUCCUCAAGAUCCAACAAACGACGUCUCAAUUUCUUAUUCAACUUAGCCAUCUUCUUUGAUUCAAUGAGAAGUUGAUUGUACGCUUCCGCUGUGUCGUCGUCGUUUGAUUCCUCCUCACUUUCGCCAUUGUUGCUCGAAGAGUCAUGUGAAGAAAGAGAAAUAUUAGAAUUAGUAGCAAUAGAGGAUAAACAUAUAACGUUAGACGAAGGUAAGGUAGAUGUAGCAAAUAGGGCAAGGUUUCCAUUCUUUUCUUCGUCACUCAAGCUUGAAUCACUCGAAGUUGUAUCAUCCCACGUCUUUGCUUGCAUUGCUUUCUUAGUAUAUGAUUUCUUUGAGGGACAAUCCGUAGCUAUGUGACCGUAGCCUUUGCACUUGAAACAUCGGAUUUCGCCUUCAAAUUCAUCCUUUUCUUUUGAAGCCUUUGCACGCUUCUUCUCUUUAGAUGUAGAAGAUUUAGAAAAAGAUUGUCGCUUAGAUGAUGAAGCCUUGUCCGAGUUGUUCUUCUUUCGGAAAUUCCGACGAAAAUUCUUCGUUAGAAGUGCAAGUUGAUGUUCGAAGUCGGCAAGAGAAACAUCUCCGUCGGAAUCCGAGUCUCCGUCUUCCUCUUUUGUCGAUUUCAACGCAACCCCUGUACUUUUAGAGAAAGACUUGGAAGAAGAUAGAUUAGUAGGAAACGUCAUCUCAUACGUUUGUAAAGCGCCUACUAAUUCUUCGAUUUUCAUCUUGUCCGGAUGCUUAACCGUUUCGAUCGCGGCAACUUUUGCCCGAAAGCGUUCAGGAAGAGUUCGAAGAAUUUUCCUAAUAACCUUUGAAUUCGGGAUUUUCUCUCCCAAGUUAGCACAUGUAUUCACAACGUCUUGUAGACGCGUAUAGUACUCGGUAAAGGUCUCAUUUUCGUCCAUAGAAAUUGAAUCAAACUUGCUAGUUAGCAUUUGCAAUUUUUGGACCUUUACUAAGCUUGUUCCUUCAUGCGUAACUUGUAGAGUACCCCAAAUUUCCUUUGCUGUUUCGCAUGCCGAAACCCGAGUAAACUCCGUUUGCGAUAAAGCGUUGAAUAAAGCAUUAAUUCCUUUACCGUUAAACGAAGAUGACUCGUUUUCAUCUUUUGUUCAUUUGUUCCGUGGUUUAGGAACGGUAGUGUUAUUGACAACAUCGGUAGGGUGCUCCCAACCAAAUUCAAUAGCUUUCCAAACACGCUUAUCGAUUGCAAUUAGAAAAGCUCUCAUGCGAACUUUCCAAUAGGCAUAAUUCGUGCCAUCGAAGAGUGGUGGUCGAUUAACGUUACCGCCUUCGGCCAUUAGAAAAUAAUUUAUCUAGAUCCCGCUCUGAUACUAAUUAAAAGUUUUGAGGAGCUCAAGAAUCUAUCUAGAUUGUAUCUAUCACCUAGAGGGGGGGUGAAUAGGUGAAAUAGCCAAAAAUCACAAAUCUCAAUGCGAUAAAAAUAAAUGCGGAAAAUAAAAAUCACACCGAGAUUUACGUGGGAAAACUCCAAUUUGGAGAAAAACCCACGAGAGCAACACGCGAAAAAACAAUCCACUAAAAGAAAAGAUUACAAGGUGAUUACCGACUCCACAGACUCAACCGCUCUUAACCUCCUAUGGAUCUCGUGCAAUCCUCCGGGUUGUCCACGCCCUCACGUUCGAAUCCACGAACGCCUCCACUUCGAAUCCACGAAGAUUCAAUCACGCCGAAUCCACGAUGCCACUCGAAUCCACGAGCCCACGAUCCGAAUCCACGAAUCGCCUUCGUUCACGCCGAAUCCACGACGCCGUUCAUGAAGAGCAUCAUGAUUAUGGUGAUCCUUCGCUUAGGAGUAUCGUAGAAAACCAGGGAAUAGAAUUCCAAGCGAAGACUAGAUCAAAUCGACAUAUAGCGAAUGCGAAACGUUAUCUCGAUUUGAUCUAAAGAGGCUAAUUUGUAGAAAAUAGGUUUAGAAUGAAAUCCGAGCCUCUAGGGUUUCUCAAACAUGUAUUCUUAUGAUGCUUAAUCAGUUAGAGAACCCCUAUAGCUUAUUUAUAGACUUUAGAAUCAAAACGGAGUAGGAUUAGAAAGUUUCUUUCCAAAAUCAGCACCUUGUACCGGAACAAGGAAAGCUGUCCAGGGUACAGCAUGACGGAAGAUUUUUCUGCGAAGUUUCUGUACUCUGAACAGACUGCAGCUUGUUCCGGAACAGGGCUUGUACCGGUACGGCCAUGAUGGUUGUACCGGAACAACCAUCAACAAACUCUGCGGCAAAGGCCGAUGUCUGUACCGGAACAGAUAAACCCUUGUACCGGUACAACUAUACAAUUUUCGCUGAAAAUGCAUUGUUUCGAGUUUUACAAGCUCUUAGAAACUUUCUAAUCAAUUACAACUUGAAAACAUGAUUCUAAAAUCUAUAAUUAAGUAUGAAUCACCAUAAACAAGAUUUAAAGCUUACCUAAGCAUCGUGAUUCAUGUUUUGUGUGUUUUGCGUCCUUUCUGAUUCUUCAAAGUCUUGGAUUCUUCGAUCUUCAAUAUUCUGC
This 7549-nucleotide long non-coding RNA is filed under the name Ananas comosus (pineapple). RNAcentral describes it as "long non-coding RNA (ACOM_LNC000726)". Lineage: Eukaryota; Viridiplantae; Streptophyta; Magnoliopsida; Poales; Bromeliaceae. The record is from RNAcentral.